This 648-nucleotide ribosomal RNA is filed under the name Triticum aestivum (bread wheat). RNAcentral describes it as "partial small subunit ribosomal RNA". The record is from RNAcentral. Lineage: Eukaryota; Viridiplantae; Streptophyta; Magnoliopsida; Poales; Poaceae.
AUGUGGUCAGUGUGGACAUCACGAAAUAAUAGAAUUCAUGGAGAUUCCUCAACUAAUCUAACUCAAGCUUGCAGGUGGGCGCGUACGGCAUCGGAUCUGAUGUUGAAUGCAAAACCACAAGGAGAAGGAACCAAAACUAAGACCAAGACAUACUGGCAACGUCCACAAGAAGGCUACUAUAAAAUUAAUGUAGACGCAACCUUCAAUUCAAAGGAUGAAAAAGGAGCUUCAGGGGUAAUAAUCAGAGACGAUGAUGGCACUGUAGUAGCAGCGAGCAGUAAAUGGUAUGAUUCAGUCCCUAAUGUUUUAACAGCAGAAGCUUUAGCUUGUAGAGAUGGAGCUAAGAUGAUGAAGAUUCUCAAUAUUCGGCAAGGAACAAUGGAGACCGAUUCUCAGGAGCUUGUGUCCUUUUGGAGUUCCAUAAAACAUCAUAGAGCUAGCAUCUUGUCAAUUAUCAAUGAAAUACAAGAGCUGGUAGAAGGAUGUAGUGGUUUUGAUAUUUAUCAUGUUAAGAGGGAGGCAAAUAUAGAAGCUCACAAAGUUGCCAAAUUUGCUACUGAAUCAAAUCCGGAGUGUGCCUGGAUACACCAGGUGCCGAAUAGCAUCCUUCUGUGUACUAGACAAGAUUGUAAUCAUGUUCCUAGUUAA